Molecule: ribosomal RNA, 498 nt
Filed under: uncultured bacterium
Lineage: Bacteria
Description: partial 16S ribosomal RNA
Rfam family: Bacterial small subunit ribosomal RNA
Source: RNAcentral
GAUGAACGCUGGCGGCAUGCUUUACACAUGCAAGUCGAACGGUAACAGGCCGCAAGGUGCUGACGAGUGGCGAACGGGUGAGUAAUGCAUCGGAACGUGCCCAGUCGUGGGGGAUAACGCAGCGAAAGCUGUGCUAAUACCGCAUACGAUCUGUGGAUGAAAGCGGGGGACCGAAAGGCCUCGCGCGAUUUGAACGGCCGAUGUCAGAUUAGGUAGUUGGUGGGGUAAAAGCUCACCAAGCCGACGAUCUGUAGCUGGUCUGAGAGGACGACCAGCCACACUGGGACUGAGACACGGCCCAGACUCCUACGGGAGGCAGCAGUGGGGAAUUUUGGACAAUGGGCGCAAGCCUGAUCCAGCAAUGCCGCGUGCAGGAAGAAGGCCUUCGGGUUGUAAACUGCUUUUGUACGGAGCGAAAAGGCUCUCUCUAAUACAGGGGGCUCAUGACGGUACCGUAAGAAUAAGCACCGGCUAACUACGUGCCAGCCGCCGCAGUAA